UACCAUGCAAGUCGACGGCAGCACGGGGGCAACCCUGGUGGCGAGUGGCGAACGGGUGAGUAAUACAUCGGAACGUGUCCUGUAGUGGGGGAUAGCCCGGCGAAAGCCGGAUUAAUACCGCAUACGCUCUACGGAGGAAAGGGGGGGAUCUUAGGACCUCCCGCUACAGGGGCGGCCGAUGGCAGAUUAGCUAGUUGGUGGGGUAAAGGCCUACCAAGGCGACGAUCUGUAGCUGGUCUGAGAGGACGACCAGCCACACUGGGACUGAGACACGGCCCAGACUCCUACGGGAGGCAGCAGUGGGGAAUUUUGGACAAUGGGGGCAACCCUGAUCCAGCAAUGCCGCGUGUGUGAAGAAGGCCUUCGGGUUGUAAAGCACUUUUGUCCGGAAAGAAAACGCCGUGGUUAAUACCCGUGGCGGAUGACGGUACCGGAAGAAUAAGCACCGGCUAACUACGUGCCAGCAGCCGCGGUAAUACGUAGGGUGCAAGCGUUAAUCGGAAUUACUGGGCGUAAAGCGUGCGCAGGCGGUCCGCUAAGACAGAUGUGAAAUCCCCGGGCUUAACCUGGGAACUGCAUUUGUGACUGGCGGGCUAGAGUAUGGCAGAGGGGGGUAGAAU
RNAcentral lists this ribosomal RNA (620 nucleotides) under Burkholderia sp. Z41_2. RNAcentral's name for it is "bacterial SSU rRNA". It matches the Rfam family "Bacterial small subunit ribosomal RNA", at positions 52 to 667 of the family's 1533-position model. Lineage: Bacteria; Pseudomonadati; Pseudomonadota; Betaproteobacteria; Burkholderiales; Burkholderiaceae. The record is from RNAcentral.